This is a non-coding RNA of Arachis ipaensis, 866 nucleotides long. NCBI's taxonomy places the organism in Eukaryota, Viridiplantae, Streptophyta, Magnoliopsida, Fabales, Fabaceae. The record is from RefSeq and is a predicted model, not a curated record.
AGUUCUGAGUUUUCUCCUGAGAUUUUUUCUGCCGUCGCAUCUGACUUUCUUCUAUUUUGUUCUGUUGUGUUCUGUCAAACAACUUCCGAGUUUUCUUCUGUUUUCUUCAAACCGAACCCUUAGUUUUGGAUGUGCUCUAAUUUUGAACCAUUGCAUAACCCAGUUUUAGGAAAGAUGAAAAGGUACAGAACUACAGAUUUUAAAAUCUCUCAGUGUUGAACUCUUCAUUUCAACGGAUCCUGCUGUAAGUUUCUUCCUCAUUGUGGUUCACUUUUUGAUUGGUUAGGACUUAAGUAAAUUGCAUGAAUUAAUUUGAUAGGAUCACAGCUUUUUCCUUUGCUGUGUAAAUAGAUUGUGUUUGUUGUUUGUAUAUUGAAUUAGUAGAAUACUGCUAGAGUAGGAAGGGAUUUGAGCUGAUUUAACACGUCUAAGAAUCUUAACAAGUCCUUAUAUUCAAAAUCUUCGUUGAAAAUUGCUAUGGGCUUGUUCUGUAAUCUUUCUGUAAAUCUCUAUAGGAAAAAAUAGAAAAUGAGAGAAGAUUCUAGUGAUUUUGUUUGGAGGGAAAUCUUGUGGAACCCCAUGGAAAAUGCACUGUGGCAUUUAGUCUUGCAUGGUCAUCUCCAAAAGUAAAGUUCUCAAAAGGCAGCACUUUUCAUAGGAGAUACACAAAAUUUUAUGGGACUUCUGAGAGAGCUGCAAAGGACUUGGCCCAUGAUGCAUUAACUCAAUACAAACGAUGGGAAGAAGACAUUGAGAAAUGGCAAAAUCCUAUUCUUCAGGAUGAGUCACUACCAGAAUGGUAAUUCUCUGUUUAAGCAUGAAGACAUUUUAAUUUUUAAGCAUCAACUUGUGUAUUGGUUUAUUAU